GAGUUUGAUCUUGGCUCAGAUUGAACGCUGGCGGCAUGCCUUACACAUGCAAGUCGAACGGUAACAGGUCUUCGGAUGCUGACGGGUGGCGAACGGGUGAGUAAUACAUCGGAACGUGCCCAGACGUGGGGGAGUAACGAGGCGAAAGCUUUGCUAAUACCGCAUACGAUCUAAGGAUGAAAGCAGGGGACCGCAAGGCCUUGCGCGUUUGGAGCGGCCGAUGGCAGAUUAGGUAGUUGGUGGGAUAAAAGCUUACCAAGCCGACGAUCUGUAGCUGGUCUGAGAGGACGACCAGCCACACUGGGACUGAGACACGGCCCAGACUCCUACGGGAGGCAGCAGUGGGGAAUUUUGGACAAUGGGCGAAAGCCUGAUCCAGCAAUGCCGCGUGCAGGAUGAAGGCCUCGGUUGU
RNAcentral lists this ribosomal RNA (412 nucleotides) under uncultured microorganism. RNAcentral describes it as "bacterial SSU rRNA". It matches the Rfam family "Bacterial small subunit ribosomal RNA", at positions 9 to 426 of the family's 1533-position model. The record is from RNAcentral.